UACGUAGGCAGCAAGCGUUGUUCGGAAUUACUGGGCGUAAAGAGUGUGUAGGCGGUGCUCUAAGUUCGUUGUGAAAUCUCCCGGCUUAACUGGGAGGGUGCGGCGGAAACUGGAGUGCUUGAGCGCGGGAGAGGAAAGCGGAACUCCUGGUGUAGCGGUGAAAUGCGUAGAUAUCAGGAGGAACACCUGUGGUGUAGACGGCUUUCUGGACCGUAGCUGACGCUGAGACACGAAAGCGUGGGUAGCAAACAGG
RNAcentral lists this ribosomal RNA (253 nucleotides) under uncultured bacterium. Its description in RNAcentral is "partial 16S ribosomal RNA". It matches the Rfam family "Bacterial small subunit ribosomal RNA", at positions 524 to 776 of the family's 1533-position model. The record is from RNAcentral.